This 352-nucleotide long non-coding RNA is filed under the name Mytilus galloprovincialis (Mediterranean mussel). Lineage: Eukaryota; Metazoa; Mollusca; Bivalvia; Mytilida; Mytilidae. The record is from RNAcentral.
GCAUGUUUAUGCACCUGUCCUGAUUGAUUGAGGGGCCUGUCGUUCAGCAGUUGUUGUUCAUUGGUAUUUUCCCGUUUGGAUAUACAUGAUAUAUAAAUUAGAUCGUUGGUUUUCCUGUUCGAAUUGUGUACGCUAAUAAUUUUGGGGUCCUUUAUAGCCUGCUGUUUGGUCUGUAUCAAAGCCCUGUGUAAAAGGCCGUACUUUGACCUGUGUUUGUUAAUAUCAGGUUGAGAACAACCCUCCCUCAGACAAGGGUCAUUUUACUGAUGUAGAAAAGAAAAUAGAAAUACCAAGGAUUUGUAUAGUUCUUCUAUACAAAACCUUUGAAAACUUAGAAUUUUGUACUCAAAAA